RNAcentral lists this long non-coding RNA (829 nucleotides) under Salvia miltiorrhiza (redroot sage). RNAcentral describes it as "long non-coding RNA (SMIL_LNC004376)". Lineage: Eukaryota; Viridiplantae; Streptophyta; Magnoliopsida; Lamiales; Lamiaceae. The record is from RNAcentral.
GAUCCACUUUCUCCAUCCACUAGGCUAGCUCAUGCUGGCUAAGAUACUUUUGGUCACACAUAAAAUAAGGGGAACAGAUUACCUAUCAAUAUGAAUUAGAUACAAUAAAGCUAUACACUCAUCGGGAACAUUUUGCCCCAUAUAUAUAAAUUUAUCUUGAUUUACAAAAUAGCAGCUUCAUUCUGGUACAUAAUUGUAAAGCAAUUAGACGAAACACAUGAGAUGGCACAGCUGUUUAUUCCGCGAGAGAGAGAGAGAGAGCAAUAAUUGGAAAUAAAGUUAACUGAGUUCCGGGUAAAAAAAUAAAAAUAACAAACCAGGUUGAAAGAAUGGGUUUUGGAGAGAAGACGGCGAGAGGAGGACACUUGUGCUGGGAUCGGACCUGGUAAUCUCUGAGUUGCUCCACGAGUUUCGAUCGAGUUAUCAUCGAAUUGCAGUUGCACCGACUCCUGCUCGCAAACCUCAGAAUUUAACUGAACUGGAUUGAAUCAAAAUUGCAGGGAAUUCUGUAAAUCGAACUUAUGAUGCCACCUAAUAAGUACUUAAGUUUCGAUUUCGAUUUCGAUUUCCAUCUGGAUUUUUGCAGAUUCAUUCAGCAUUGAAUCCUGGACAAACAUUAGGGUUUUGGGGAAGGAAUUGUUUUGGCAGAGACUAGAAGUAAAGUCUAUUGCUAAACAUUUGCAUAAGUAAAUAUAAAACGAAACCAUGUAUGGUCACAUUAGUCCCAUUUGUAUGACUAAUAGCAAAAUUUCCAAAAACUUAAUCCAACAUGCAUCAUACUCUAGGUGAUCAGGGGUACGCGAUAAGAAUUUUGAUGGUAAUAAAAUAG